This 468-nucleotide ribosomal RNA is filed under the name uncultured bacterium. RNAcentral describes it as "partial 16S ribosomal RNA". It matches the Rfam family "Bacterial small subunit ribosomal RNA", at positions 28 to 507 of the family's 1533-position model. The record is from RNAcentral.
GACGAACGCUGGCGGCGUGCUUAACACAUGCAAGUCGAACGGAAAGGCCCUGCUUUUGUGGGGUGCUCGAGUGGCGAACGGGUGAGUAAAACGUGAGUAUCCUCCCCUUAUCUUUGGGAUACCUUCUGGAAACAGGGGCUAUAACCGGGUAGAACCUCUUGAUCCUUGUGGGGGUUUGGAAAUUUUCGGCGGUUGGGGAUGGACUCGCGGGUCAUCAGCUGUUUGGGGGGGUAGGGGCUUACAAGGCUUUUGACGGGUAGCCGGCAUGGGCGGGGGACCGGCCACAAUGGGACUGAGAUACGGACCAGACUCCUACGGGAGGCAGCAGUGGGGAAUAUUGCACAAUGGGCGGAAGCCUGAUGCAGCAACGCCGCGUGCGGGAUGACGGCCUUCGGGUUGUAAACCGCUUUCGACUGUGACGAAGCGUGAGUGACGGUAAUGGGUAAAGAAGCACCGGCUAACUACGUG